This is a long non-coding RNA of Cyprinus carpio (common carp), 1116 nucleotides long. Lineage: Eukaryota; Metazoa; Chordata; Actinopteri; Cypriniformes; Cyprinidae. The record is from Ensembl.
ACCCAGCCCGUCUCGCUGGCGCUGCGAGUUUUAAACCAGGCCCUUCAUCGGCUACCGUUCAAAAUGUUGACGCAGAAAUGCAUCUUCGGGUGUGUCUGUCCCCGAGAUUGGUUUGCAGCGAUCGACCUGAAGGACGCGUACUUUCAUGUAUCAAUCCUUCUGAGCCACAGACCUUUUCUGCGGUUUGCGUUCGAAGGACGGGCAUAUCAGUACAAGGUCCUGCCCUUUGGGGUUUCCCUGUCUCCCGUGUCUUCACAAAAGUUGUGGAGGUGGCUCUUGUUCCCCUCAGAGAGCAGGGUGUUCACAUUCUCAACUAUCUAAACGAUUGGCUGAUACUAGCACAAUCUCGGGAUCAGUUGUGCGAGCACAGGGACCCGGUGCUCUUGCACCUCAGCCUUCGGGUCAACUGGGAAAAGAGCAAGCUCUCGCCGAUGCAGAGGAUCUCUUUUCUCGGUAUGGAGUUGGAUUCGGUCGAACAGACAGCACACCUCACAGAGGAACAUGCGCGGUCGGUCAUAGCCUGCUUGAAUACAUUCAAGGGCAGGAUAGAGGUCCCACUGAAACUUUUACAGAGGCUCCUGGGGCAUAUGGCAGCCGCAGAUAACACCGUACACUGGCUUUAUGGCCGAGUCCCGAGGUGGGCAUGGAAGCGAGGCACUCACCGAGUCCAAGUUACACCGGCCUGUCACCAAACCCUAACCCCGUGGUCAGAUACGUUCCUCCGGGCAGGGCUGCCCCUAGAACAGAUAUCCAGGCAUGCUGUGGUUUACACGGAUGCCUCCACCACCGGCUGGGGGGCCACAUACAACGGGCGUGCAGUCUCAGAGGUUCGGACGGGACCGCAGCUGCUUUGGCACAUCAAUUGCCUAGAGCUGUUAGCAGUAAGCCUUGCUCUGAACCAUCUUAAAGGUCGCUUACAAGGCAACACAGUGACCGUUGCGUACAUCAACCGACAAGGUGGUCUGCGCUCCCGUCACAAGUCACAACUCGCCCGCCACCUCCUCUUUUAGAGUCAGAAGGUUCAGAGGUCACUUCGUGCUGUUCACAUUCCGGGCCUGCUCAACCGACGAGCCGACGAGCUGUCUCGAGCAAUGCUCCUGGGAGAAUGGCGACUCC